This 2904-nucleotide ribosomal RNA is filed under the name Escherichia coli. RNAcentral describes it as "23S ribosomal RNA". It matches the Rfam family "Bacterial large subunit ribosomal RNA". Lineage: Bacteria; Pseudomonadati; Pseudomonadota; Gammaproteobacteria; Enterobacterales; Enterobacteriaceae. The record is from RNAcentral.
GGUUAAGCGACUAAGCGUACACGGUGGAUGCCCUGGCAGUCAGAGGCGAUGAAGGACGUGCUAAUCUGCGAUAAGCGUCGGUAAGGUGAUAUGAACCGUUAUAACCGGCGAUUUCCGAAUGGGGAAACCCAGUGUGAUUCGUCACACUAUCAUUAACUGAAUCCAUAGGUUAAUGAGGCGAACCGGGGGAACUGAAACAUCUAAGUACCCCGAGGAAAAGAAAUCAACCGAGAUUCCCCCAGUAGCGGCGAGCGAACGGGGAGCAGCCCAGAGCCUGAAUCAGUGUGUGUGUUAGUGGAAGCGUCUGGAAAGGCGUGCGAUACAGGGUGACAGCCCCGUACACAAAAAUGCACAUACUGUGAGCUCGAUGAGUAGGGCGGGACACGUGGUAUCCUGUCUGAAUAUGGGGGGACCAUCCUCCAAGGCUAAAUACUCCUGACUGACCGAUAGUGAACCAGUACCGUGAGGGAAAGGCGAAAAGAACCCCGGCGAGGGGAGUGAAAAAGAACCUGAAACCGUGUACGUACAAGCAGUGGGAGCCUCUUAAUGGGGUGACUGCGUACCUUUUGUAUAAUGGGUCAGCGACUUAUAUUCUGUAGCAAGGUUAACCGAAUAGGGGAGCCGAAGGGAAACCGAGUCUUAACUGGGCGUUAAGUUGCAGGGUAUAGACCCGAAACCCGGUGAUCUAGCCAUGGGCAGGUUGAAGGUUGGGUAACACUAACUGGAGGACCGAACCGACUAAUGUUGAAAAAUUAGCGGAUGACUUGUGGCUGGGGGUGAAAGGCCAAUCAAACCGGGAGAUAGCUGGUUCUCCCCGAAAGCUAUUUAGGUAGCGCCUCGUGAAUUCAUCUCCGGGGGUAGAGCACUGUUUCGGCAAGGGGGUCAUCCCGACUUACCAACCCGAUGCAAACUGCGAAUACCGGAGAAUGUUAUCACGGGAGACACACGGCGGGUGCUAACGUCCGUCGUGAAGAGGGAAACAACCCAGACCGCCAGCUAAGGUCCCAAAGUCAUGGUUAAGUGGGAAACGAUGUGGGAAGGCCCAGACAGCCAGGAUGUUGGCUUAGAAGCAGCCAUCAUUUAAAGAAAGCGUAAUAGCUCACUGGUCGAGUCGGCCUGCGCGGAAGAUGUAACGGGGCUAAACCAUGCACCGAAGCUGCGGCAGCGACACUAUGUGUUGUUGGGUAGGGGAGCGUUCUGUAAGCCUGUGAAGGUGUACUGUGAGGUAUGCUGGAGGUAUCAGAAGUGCGAAUGCUGACAUAAGUAACGAUAAAGCGGGUGAAAAGCCCGCUCGCCGGAAGACCAAGGGUUCCUGUCCAACGUUAAUCGGGGCAGGGUGAGUCGACCCCUAAGGCGAGGCCGAAAGGCGUAGUCGAUGGGAAACAGGUUAAUAUUCCUGUACUUGGUGUUACUGCGAAGGGGGGACGGAGAAGGCUAUGUUGGCCGGGCGACGGUUGUCCCGGUUUAAGCGUGUAGGCUGGUUUUCCAGGCAAAUCCGGAAAAUCAAGGCUGAGGCGUGAUGACGAGGCACUACGGUGCUGAAGCAACAAAUGCCCUGCUUCCAGGAAAAGCCUCUAAGCAUCAGGUAACAUCAAAUCGUACCCCAAACCGACACAGGUGGUCAGGUAGAGAAUACCAAGGCGCUUGAGAGAACUCGGGUGAAGGAACUAGGCAAAAUGGUGCCGUAACUUCGGGAGAAGGCACGCUGAUAUGUAGGUGAAGUCCCUCGCGGAUGGAGCUGAAAUCAGUCGAAGAUACCAGCUGGCUGCAACUGUUUAUUAAAAACACAGCACUGUGCAAACACGAAAGUGGACGUAUACGGUGUGACGCCUGCCCGGUGCCGGAAGGUUAAUUGAUGGGGUUAGCGGUAACGCGAAGCUCUUGAUCGAAGCCCCGGUAAACGGCGGCCGUAACUAUAACGGUCCUAAGGUAGCGAAAUUCCUUGUCGGGUAAGUUCCGACCUGCACGAAUGGCGUAAUGAUGGCCAGGCUGUCUCCACCCGAGACUCAGUGAAAUUGAACUCGCUGUGAAGAUGCAGUGUACCCGCGGCAAGACGGAAAGACCCCGUGAACCUUUACUAUAGCUUGACACUGAACAUUGAGCCUUGAUGUGUAGGAUAGGUGGGAGGCUUUGAAGUGUGGACGCCAGUCUGCAUGGAGCCGGCCUUGAAAUACCACCCUUUAAUGUUUGAUGUUCUAACGUUGGCCCCUGAUCGGGGUUGCGGACAGUGUCUGGUGGGUAGUUUGACUGGGGCGGUCUCCUCCUAAAGAGUAACGGAGGAGCACGAAGGUUGGCUAAUCCUGGUCGGACAUCAGGAGGUUAGUGCAAUGGCAUAAGCCAGCUUGACUGCGAGCGUGACGGCGCGAGCAGGUGCGAAAGCAGGUCAUAGUGAUCCGGUGGUUCUGAAUGGAAGGGCCAUCGCUCAACGGAUAAAAGGUACUCCGGGGAUAACAGGCUGAUACCGCCCAAGAGUUCAUAUCGACGGCGGUGUUUGGCACCUCGAUGUCGGCUCAUCACAUCCUGGGGCUGAAGUAGGUCCCAAGGGUAUGGCUGUUCGCCAUUUAAAGUGGUACGCGAGCUGGGUUUAGAACGUCGUGAGACAGUUCGGUCCCUAUCUGCCGUGGGCGCUGGAGAACUGAGGGGGGCUGCUCCUAGUACGAGAGGACCGGAGUGGACGCAUCACUGGUGUUCGGGUUGUCAUGCCAAUGGCACUGCCCGGUAGCUAAAUGCGGAAGAGAUAAGUGCUGAAAGCAUCUAAGCACGAAACUUGCCCCGAGAUGAGUUCUCCCUGACUCCUUGAGAGUCCUGAAGGAACGUUGAAGACGACGACGUUGAUAGGCCGGGUGUGUAAGCGCAGCGAUGCGUUGAGCUAACCGGUACUAAUGAACCGUGAGGCUUAACCUU